CUGGCGGCGUGCCUAAUACAUGCAAGUCGAACGGUCUUUUCUAUGGAAGCUUGCUUCCACUGAGAAGAUAGUGGCGAACGGGUGAGUACACGUGGGGUAACCUGCCCAUAAGAGGGGGAUAACAUCCGGAAACGGGUGCUAAUACCGCAUAGUUUUCUUGAUCGCAUGAUCGGGAAAGGAAAGACGGCCUUUGUGCUGUCGCUUAUGGAUGGACCCGCGGCGUAUUAGUUAGUUGGUGAGGUAACGGCUCACCAAGACGAUGAUACGUAGCCGACCUGAGAGGGUGAUCGGCCACAUUGGGACUGAGACACGGCCCAAACUCCUACGGGAGGCAGCAGUAGGGAAUCUUCCGCAAUGGACGAAAGUCUGGACGGAGCAACGCCGCGUGAGUGAAGAAAGGGUUUUCGGAUCGUAAAACUCUGUUGUCAGAGAAGAACAAGUUGGAGAGUAACUGCUCCAGCCUUGACGGUAUCUGACCAGAAAGCCACGGCUAACUACGUGCCAGCCGCAGC
This 512-nucleotide ribosomal RNA is filed under the name uncultured bacterium. RNAcentral describes it as "bacterial SSU rRNA". It matches the Rfam family "Bacterial small subunit ribosomal RNA", at positions 36 to 518 of the family's 1533-position model. The record is from RNAcentral.